This is a long non-coding RNA of Tarenaya hassleriana, 481 nucleotides long. RefSeq lists it as uncharacterized. The transcript is spliced from 2 exons. Lineage: Eukaryota; Viridiplantae; Streptophyta; Magnoliopsida; Brassicales; Cleomaceae. The record is from RefSeq and is a predicted model, not a curated record.
UAGUUGAACCAGUAGAGAUAUAAAAAAAAAAGAGUCAGAACAUAAAAAGAUCAGUCCAUUUGAUAGAUAUUAUACUAAUAAUAAGAAAUAAUGGGGAAGAAGAGCGUGAUGAUAAUAAUGGGGAUGAUGGUGAUGAUGAUCAUAUCAUCCAAUGAGAUUGGGCACGUGAGAGGAAUGACGCGUGAAGAAUGCGAAGACGACUGCGAAGAACAUGAUUGUUGGAAAGGCGCAUUUUCUCCUCCCGACACUCAGUGCAUGUUGGAUUGCAUUGCCAGAAAAUGUCCCGGACUGCCCCCCGCCGUUGAAGGUCGGGCUAAGAUCAACAGCAUGGGGUAGAUACAUGUCGCCUGUCGGAUGACGGAAAAUAAAUAUCUUAAAUUGCAAAAUCUGGUUUUUUUGUUUUCUCUUUCCUUCUUCAAUUUCGUUGUGUUAUGAUCGAAACCAAUAUGAUGAAUAAAAAUACAUCUUUUGAUUUGAUGGA